RNAcentral lists this ribosomal RNA (467 nucleotides) under uncultured bacterium. RNAcentral describes it as "bacterial SSU rRNA". It matches the Rfam family "Bacterial small subunit ribosomal RNA", at positions 330 to 795 of the family's 1533-position model. The record is from RNAcentral.
CCCAGACUCCUACGGGAGGCAGCAGUGAGGAAUAUUGGUCAAUGGCCGAGAGGCUGAACCAGCCAAGUCGCGUGAGGGAUGACGGCCCUACGGGUUGUAAACCUCUUUUGUCGGGGAGCAAAGAGAGUCACGUGUGGCUCAUUGAGAGUACCCGAAGAAAAAGCAUCGGCUAACUCCGUGCCAGCAGCCGCGGUAAUACGGAGGAUGCGAGCGUUAUCCGGAUUUAUUGGGUUUAAAGGGUGCGUAGGCGGAUUUUUAAGUCAGCGGUAAAAUGUCCGGGCUCAACCCGGGCCGGCCGUUGAAACUGGGGAUCUUGAGUGGGCGAGAAGUAUGCGGAAUGCGUGGUGUAGCGGUGAAAUGCAUAGAUAUCGCGCAGAACUCCGAUUGCGAAGGCAGCAUGCCGGCUCCACACUGACGCUGAGGCACGAAAGCGUGGGUAUCGAACAGGAUUAGAUACCCUCGUAGAU